UACUGAGUUUACGCUCUAUAACCCUUUGUGAACAUACCUAUAACUGUUGCUUCGGCGGGUAGGGUCUCCGCGACCCUCCCGGCCUCCCGCCCCCGGGCGGGUCGGCGCCCGCCGGAGGAUAACCAAACUCUGAUUUAACGACGUUUCUUCUGAGUGGUACAAGCAAAUAAUCAAAACUUUUAACAACGGAUCUCUUGGUUCUGGCAUCGAUGAAGAACGCAGCGAAAUGCGAUAAGUAAUGUGAAUUGCAGAAUUCAGUGAAUCAUCGAAUCUUUGAACGCACAUUGCGCCCGCCAGCAUUCUGGCGGGCAUGCCUGUUCGAGCGUCAUUUCAACCCUCAAGCUCUGCUUGGUGUUGGGGCCCUACAGCUGAUGUAGGCCCUCAAAGGUAGUGGCGGACCCUCCCGGAGCCUCCUUUGCGUAGUAACUUUACGUCUCGCACUGGGAUCCGGAGGGACUCUUGCCGUAAAACCCCCAAUUUUCCAAAGGUUGACCUCGGAUCAGGUAGGAAUACCCGCUGAACUUAAGCAUAUCAAUAAGCGGAGGAAAAGAAACCAACAGGGAUUGCCUCAGUAACGGCGAGUGAAGCGGCAACAGCUCAAAUUUGAAAUCUGGCCCUAGGCCCGAGUUGUAAUUUGCAGAGGAUGCUUUUGGUGCGGUGCCUUCCAAGUUCCCUAGAACGGGACGCCAGAGAGGGUGAGAGCCCCGUACAGUUGGACACCAAGCCUUUGUAAAGCUCCUUCGACGAGUCGAGUAGUUUGGGAAUGCUGCUCAAAAUGGGAGGUAUAUUUCUUCUAAAGCUAAAUACCGGCCAGAGACCGAUAGCGCACAAGUAGAGUGAUCGAAAGAUGAAAAGCACUUUGAAAAGAGGGUUAAACAGCACGUGAAAUUGUUAAAAGGGAAGCGCUUGUGACCAGACUUGCGUCCGGUGAAUCACCCAGCUCUCGCGGCUGGGGCACUUCGCCGGCUCAGGCCAGCAUCAGCUCGCUGUCGGGGACAAAAGCUUCAGGAACGUAGCUCUCUUCGGGGAGUGUUAUAGCCUGUUGCAUAAUACCCUUCGGCGGGCUGA
Molecule: unclassified non-coding RNA, 1068 nt
Filed under: leaf metagenome
Description: partial contains internal transcribed spacer 1, 5.8S ribosomal RNA, internal transcribed spacer 2, and large subunit ribosomal RNA
Rfam family: Eukaryotic large subunit ribosomal RNA (bases 490-1068)
Source: RNAcentral